GCGGGUCCGUCCCGGGUCCCUUGUCUGGCCAAGCAUGUGGUUAGCGAGUCCCCGGGUACGCAAGACUAAAACACGGGAAGAACAGAGCCCCUCCCGGGCGAGCUAGUUUUAGGAAAAUAAGCAAGUAAAAAUAGCAUCGGAUAUAUAUUAAAGCUUGGGCAAAACAAGUUGACGAAUAACACUGAUAAUGACAAGAGAAACCUAACAUAAAAAGUUCUAAGGCGCACGCGCCACUUGCAGGGAAAUAAAAAAAAGAGAAGGAAGGGAACUACGCGGGA
This 278-nucleotide long non-coding RNA is filed under the name Brachypodium distachyon (stiff brome). RNAcentral's name for it is "long non-coding RNA (BDIS_LNC005992)". The record is from RNAcentral. Lineage: Eukaryota; Viridiplantae; Streptophyta; Magnoliopsida; Poales; Poaceae.